GAUGAACGCUGGCGGCGUGCCUAAUACAUGCAAGUCGAGCGAACAGACGAGGAGCUUGCUCCUCUGACGUUAGCAGCGGACGGGUGAGUAACACGUGGAUAACCUACCUAUAAGACUGGGAUAACUUCGGGAAACCGGAGCUAAUACCGGAUAAUAUAUUGAACCGCAUGGUUCAAUAGUGAAAGACGGUUUUGCUGUCACUUAUAGAUGGAUCCGCGCCGCAUUAGCUAGUUGGUAAGGUAACGGCUUACCAAGGCAACGAUGCGUAGCAGACCUGAGAGGGUGAUCGGCCACACUGGAACUGAGACACGGUCCAGACUCCUACGGGAGGCAGCAGUAGGGAAUCUUCCGCAAUGGGCGAAAGCCUGACGGAGCAACGCCGCGUGAGCGAUGAAGGUCUUCGGAUCGUAAAACUCUGUUAUUAGGGAAGAACAAAUGUGUAAGUAACUAUGCACGUCUUGACGGUACCUAAUCAGAAAGCCACGGCUAACUACGUG
Molecule: ribosomal RNA, 497 nt
Filed under: uncultured bacterium
Lineage: Bacteria
Description: partial 16S ribosomal RNA
Rfam family: Bacterial small subunit ribosomal RNA
Source: RNAcentral